UACGAAGGGGGCUAGCGCUGCUCGGAAUCACUGGGCGUAAGGGUGCGUAGGCGGGUCUUUAAGUCAGGGGUGAAAUCCUGGAGCUCAACUCCAGAACUGCCUUUGAUACUGAAGAUCUUGAGUUCGGGAGAGGUGAGUGGAACUGCGAGUGUAGAGGUGAAAUUCGUAGAUAUUCGCAAGAACACCAGUGGCGAAGGCGGCUCACUGGCCCCGAUACUGACGCUGAGGCACGAAAGCGUGGGGAGCAAACAGG
Molecule: ribosomal RNA, 253 nt
Filed under: uncultured bacterium
Lineage: Bacteria
Description: partial 16S ribosomal RNA
Rfam family: Bacterial small subunit ribosomal RNA
Source: RNAcentral